This 53-nucleotide transfer RNA is filed under the name Eubacterium sp. RNAcentral's name for it is "tRNA-Ser". It matches the Rfam family "tRNA", at positions 20 to 71 of the family's 71-position model. Rfam says of the family: Transfer RNA (tRNA) molecules are approximately 80 nucleotides in length. Their secondary structure includes four short double-helical elements and three loops (D, anti-codon, and T loops). The record is from RNAcentral. Lineage: Bacteria; Bacillati; Bacillota; Clostridia; Eubacteriales; Eubacteriaceae.
AGAGCGUCCGGUUCAUACCCGGGAGGUUGAGAGUUCGAGUCUCUCCCUCGCUA